AAUUUGUAAUCUGGCUGUCUUCGAUAGUCCGAGUUGUAAUCUAUAGACGUGUUUUCCGUGCUGGACCGUAUCUAAGUCCCUUGGAACAGGGUAUCAAAGAGGGUGACAAUCCCGUGCUUGAUACGACCACCAGUGCUCUGUGAUACACGCUCUACGAGUCGAGUUGUUUGGGAAUGCAGCUCAAAAUGGGUGGUAAAUUCCAUCUAAAGCUAAAUAUUGGCGAGAGACCGAUAGCGAACAAGUACCGUGAGGGAAAGAUGAAAAGCACUUUGGAAAGAGAGUUAAACAGUACGUGAAAUUGUUGAAAGGGAAACGAUUGAAGUCAGUCGUGUUCUUUGGAUUCAGCUAGUUCUUCUAGUCUACUUCCUUUGAACGGGUCAACAUCAGUUUUGUCCGGUGGAUAAAGAUAGUAGGAAUGUAGCUCCCUCGGGAGUGUUAUAGACUAUUAUUGCAUGCACUGGGUGAGACUGAGGACUGCAGCUCGCC
RNAcentral lists this ribosomal RNA (486 nucleotides) under Cutaneotrichosporon moniliiforme. RNAcentral's name for it is "eukaryotic LSU rRNA". It matches the Rfam family "Eukaryotic large subunit ribosomal RNA", at positions 111 to 604 of the family's 3401-position model. The record is from RNAcentral. Lineage: Eukaryota; Fungi; Basidiomycota; Tremellomycetes; Trichosporonales; Trichosporonaceae.